This is a long non-coding RNA of Drosophila grimshawi, 337 nucleotides long. RefSeq lists it as uncharacterized. NCBI's taxonomy places the organism in Eukaryota, Metazoa, Arthropoda, Insecta, Diptera, Drosophilidae. The record is from RefSeq and is a predicted model, not a curated record. The transcript is spliced from 3 exons.
ACGUGGGCGUGUGAAAGAUGUGAAUUGCUGUCUCUUUUUGUCUGGUGAAUAAGAGCAAUUGCAAAAUCUAUUAUAAAUGUGCCGACAGACGACGACCCAAUAAAAAAAAGUGCAAUAGCCGGACGACGGAAUAAAGUCGCCAAAGUGCAAUUGUGUAAAAGUGUGAGUGUGUGUGUGUGUGUCAAGGGGACCUGUGAAAUACACAUUCUGCAGCGCAGGUGCGACUUCUUGGCUACAUACAUACUACACAUAUAUAUAUUUAUAUUAUUAUAUAUUAUAUAUGUAUAUUCAAACAGUAUCAACAAACUGCACACAACAACAAGCAGAUCAAAGGAAU